RNAcentral lists this ribosomal RNA (497 nucleotides) under uncultured bacterium. RNAcentral describes it as "partial 16S ribosomal RNA". It matches the Rfam family "Bacterial small subunit ribosomal RNA", at positions 28 to 507 of the family's 1533-position model. The record is from RNAcentral.
GAUGAACGCUGGCGGCGUGCCUAAUACAUGCAAGUCGAGCGAACGGACGAGAAGCUUGCUUCUCUGAUGUUAGCGGCGGACGGGUGAGUAACACGUGGAUAACCUACCUAUAAGACUGGGAUAACUUCGGGAAGCCGGAGCUAAUACCGGAUGAUAUUUUGAACCGCAUGGUUCAAAAGUGAAAGACGGUCUUGCUGUCACUUAUAGAUGGAUCCGCGCUGCAUUAGCUAGUUGGUAAGGUAACGGCUUACCAAGGCAACGAUGCAUAGCCGACCUGAGAGGGUGAUCGGCCACACUGGAACUGAGACACGGUCCAGACUCCUACGGGAGGCAGCAGUAGGGAAUCCUCCGCAAUGGGCGAAAGCCUGACGGAGCAACGCCGCGUGAGUGAUGAAGGUCUUCGGAUCGUAAAACUCUGUUAUUAGGGAAGAACAUAUGUGUAAGUAACUGUGCACAUCUUGACGGUACCUAAUCAGAAAGCCACGGCUAACUACGUG